UUUAUGGAGAGUUUGAUCCUGGCUCAGGAUGAACGCUGGCGGCGUGCCUAAUACAUGCAAGUCGAGCGAACAGACAAGGAGCUUGCUCCUUUGACGUUAGCGGCGGACGGGUGAGUAACACGUGGGUAACCUACCUAUAAGACUGGGAUAACUUCGGGAAACCGGAGCUAAUACCGGAUAAUAUUUCGAACCGCAUGGUUCGAUAGUGAAAGAUGG
Molecule: ribosomal RNA, 216 nt
Filed under: Staphylococcus haemolyticus
Lineage: Bacteria; Bacillati; Bacillota; Bacilli; Caryophanales; Staphylococcaceae
Description: partial 16S ribosomal RNA
Rfam family: Bacterial small subunit ribosomal RNA
Source: RNAcentral